This 651-nucleotide long non-coding RNA is filed under the name Brassica napus (rape). RNAcentral describes it as "long non-coding RNA (BNAP_LNC011203)". The record is from RNAcentral. Lineage: Eukaryota; Viridiplantae; Streptophyta; Magnoliopsida; Brassicales; Brassicaceae.
UUAUUACACAAGGCCUGAACAAAGGAAAAGGAUUGGUAUUAUUCGAUUAUGAAGAUAAAGAGCUUGAAAGAAACAGUCUUGACCUGGAUGUUAAUCUUAACAAUUUAAUGGCAUGAGCGUUUAAAGCUUUCAAGACUCAAAAGUUUUGCUUUCCUGAGGGUUAUGUGUUUUUGGAUUAGUUUCGAUGAGCCUUGUUCUUUGGGGGCAAUCCGAAAAAAACUGAUGCGCAAAAAAGACCUCCAAAAUCUGUCAGGAAAACCAGAAUUAUUGUGCUGGUGGUGAUGACACAAGAGUUGAGUAAUGGCAUGAAGGAUGGAAAGCAAGAAGUUGGCUGCAGAAAAAGGAAGAAGGUUGUGCGAGAAAGAAGGGGAGAGGUCAAAUAUUAUGGCUAAAUACCUAAAACUUAUCCAAAAUGAGGGAUUGCUAAUUUUUUUUUGUGUUAUGACCUGAAAUUAUCAGGGAUUGGAGUGACCUCAAAACCCGACAAUUCAACGUUUUUGAAAUCGAAAGAUGCAUAAUAUUGUUCUUAGUUGAAACGAAAAAUUAUCGUAAUGUUUUGGCAUAUUUGCAUGAAUGGUUGGGUUAUGAGUAUAUACUUUCCUGCAACAUGUUUAGCAAUAAAUUUUUUAAAUUUAAAUUAUAUUUAAAAAA